AUGAAUAGUAGACCCAUCUAUGCCUACAACAAUACCAACUCUCUCACCACACACUCUUUUACAAGACACACUCACGUCCAUAGCACCCCUAAACUCAAAACUUUCAGAACUAGUGCUAUUCAUACUGAACACCAGAUUAUCUUGGUCAUCAUGAGAGCGUUUCUUGCUUCCCCGGUGCUCUCUAGCAUAGCAGCAAAAGCCAUCUUGCGAUUGAAGAGUUCGCUUCUGCUGUUUGGCGGAGUGGGGAUACCAAAAACCGCAUGUUUAACACAUGCAGCCUGCACCAUGUCCUUCUCGUCAUGUUCUUCCCGAUGA
This 315-nucleotide ribosomal RNA is filed under the name Triticum aestivum (bread wheat). RNAcentral describes it as "partial small subunit ribosomal RNA". The record is from RNAcentral. Lineage: Eukaryota; Viridiplantae; Streptophyta; Magnoliopsida; Poales; Poaceae.